CAGAGGUGAAAUCCCACAGCUCAACUGUGGAACUGCCUUUGAUACUGAUAGUCUAGAGUAUAGUUGAAGUUGGCGGAAUGUGUCAUGUAGCGGUGAAAUGCUUAGAUAUGACACAGAACACCGAUCGCGAAGGCAGCUAGCUAAGCUAUAACUGACGCUCAUGCACGAAAGCGUGGGGAUCAAACAGGAUUAGAUACCCUGGUAGUCCACGCUGUAAACGAUGAUUACUCGAUGUUGGCGAUACACAGUCAGCGUCUAAGGGAAACCAAUAAGUAAUCCACCUGGGGAGUACGAUCGCAAGAUUGAAACUCAAAGGAAUUGACGGGGGCCCGCACAAGCGGAGGAGCAUGUGGUUUAAUUCGAUGAUACGCGAGGAACCUUACCUGGGCUAGAACGUAGAGAGACUAUAGGAGAAACCUUAUAUCCCUUCGGGGCUGUCUACGAGGUGCUGCAUGGUUGUCGUCAGCUCGUGCCGUGAGGUGUCGGGUUAAGUCCCAUAACGAGCGCAACCCCUAUCUUUAGUUGCCAACAGGUCAAGCUGGGGACUCUAAAGAAACUGCCUACGCAAGUAGUGAGGAAGGCGGGGAUGACGUCAAAUCAGCACGGCCCUUACGUCCAGGGCUACACACGUGCUACAAUGGCCGAUACAGAGGGCAGCUACCUGGUGACAGGAUGCAAAUCUCCAAAGUCGGUCUCAGUUCGGAUCGGAGUCUGCAACCCGACUCCGUGAAGUUGGAUUCGCUAGUAAUCGCGCAUCAGCCAUGGCGCGGUGAAUACGUUCCCGGGCCUUGUACACACCGCCCGUCAAGCCAUGGAAGUUGGGGGGACCUAAAGUCGAUAACCGCAAGGAGUCGCCUAGGGUAAAACCAAUGACUGGGGCUAAGUCGUAACAAGGUA
RNAcentral lists this ribosomal RNA (897 nucleotides) under uncultured Bacteroidota bacterium. RNAcentral describes it as "bacterial SSU rRNA". It matches the Rfam family "Bacterial small subunit ribosomal RNA", at positions 589 to 1498 of the family's 1533-position model. The record is from RNAcentral. Lineage: Bacteria; Pseudomonadati; Bacteroidota.